CGGAACGAGCCUUCGGGCAGCGUAGACAGGUGCUGCAUGGCUGUCGUCAGCUCGUGUCGUGAGAUGUUGGGUUAAGUCCCGCAACGAGCGCAACCCGUGUUGCUAGUCACAAGUGUCUAGCGAGACUGCCGGUAACAAGCCGGAGGAAGGUGCGGAUGAUGUCAAGUCAGCAUGGCCUAUAUGUCCAGGGCUACACACACGCUACAAUGGCUGGUACAAAGAGAAGCGAAAGGGAGACCUGAAGCGAAUCUCAUCAAAGCCAGUCAUAGUUCGGAUUGCAGGCUGCAACUCGCCUGCAUGAAGUCGGAGUUGCUAGUAACCGCAGGUCAGCAAUACUGCGGUGAAUACGUUCCCGGGCCUUGUACACAC
RNAcentral lists this ribosomal RNA (369 nucleotides) under uncultured bacterium. RNAcentral describes it as "bacterial SSU rRNA". It matches the Rfam family "Bacterial small subunit ribosomal RNA", at positions 1008 to 1390 of the family's 1533-position model. The record is from RNAcentral.